Molecule: RNA transcript, 1473 nt
Organism: Gossypium raimondii (Peruvian cotton)
Lineage: Eukaryota; Viridiplantae; Streptophyta; Magnoliopsida; Malvales; Malvaceae
Exons: 8
Source: RefSeq, a predicted model, not a curated record
ACGGUGUCGUUUUAUUCAAAAUAAAAAAAAUUUUACAACGCCGCUAAAAGUAACAAAAAAAUAAUUUCACUUAAAAAAAAUAGGGCCAUUUUAUAAAACUCCUCCCUCCCUCCGAAAUCCCAACUUUUCCCCCCUAAAAUCAGUAUCCCUAAAUAUUUUGUGUUGAUUGACAAGAUUUCUACUUUUCCCCCUAAAAUCGGUAUCCUCAAAACACCUAAUUCUUACUGAGCAACCCCUAAAAUCAGUUCUUAAAUUUCAUCGCCUCUUUCUUCUUCUUCUUCUUCUUCUUCUUCUUAUAUCUUUCUUUCCUUCUUGUUUAUAUAUAGAGAGCUGAAGCCAGUUCUGGGUGGCUUCUUCACUCUCUUUUCCAUGCCCCAAGAUCUUUUUUUUUUUUGGUAAACAAACCAGCAAACCCAAACUCACAAGGGUUUUUUGUCUCUUCCUCCAACUUCAAAUUUCAACUCCAAAUAUUGCAGGCGUUCUGUGAUGCUUGUUCUUUGGUUUCUGUUAUUUUUAACUCCCUCGGUCUCGCCUUCAAAUUCGCGAAGAUGGAGUACGUUGCCAAGGUAGGUAAUCUUGUGGAAGCAUCAAAGAGGUUUGCCACUUUAGAAAAUAUAGUUGAUGCAGAUGUAGGUAAUGGGCAGUGAAAAAACAGAGAAGCCCUUCGCGUGAUCUGCGUCGUGUUAGACAGGGUCUUCACCUCGUACGAGCUUUAUUUGAACAAUUUUUGUCAUCCAACUUCAACAGCUUAUGCUCAAGUAUGUGCACCGUAUCACACAUGGGCGGUUUGACAAGGAACUGAACAAGUAAGUUGCUAUUAAAGUUAUUAAUUUAGAAGAAUCGUCCAAUCUACAUCUGAUGGAGCUGAUUCCACUAUUUCAAACCCCCUGUGCGAGGAGUCUGCUCAAAAUUUUUCAAAAUACUCUAACAGACAGAGCAUACAUCCACCACCUGCCUUUGGCUCAUCGCCUAAUCUUGAAGCCCUUGCACUUGAAGCAAAUAAGUCUAAGGAUCAAGAUGGAGAUAGUUCUUUACUUGACAGUUCACAUCUUUCCCGGCCCAUGCAUGAAGUUACAUUUUCAACAGAAGACAAACCAAAACUUCUUAGUCAGGUUUUAUUGUGGCAUGUUUAUGUAUUCUAUAUAUCAACUUCUAUAGCAGAGGCUUAAGUCUUUGUUUUGAGCAGGUAAGUACAUGGAACUAUUUUUUAUCCUUGUUGUUCAUGUUUUAUUUUGAUUUUUCUGUGAUUAAACUCUAGUACUCAGGGCAGUAGUUGUUGGGAUGUAAAAUCUGUUGUCUAUCUGCCUAAAUAUAUGACAAAAGGUAGAAGUACAUAUUGGAGAUACUCUCACAUGCACAUUCAUUCGUUUGAAACACGAUAUCUAGUUAUUUGUCUUUGAACUGAGUUGGAUUUUUCCAUGCUUAUGUAGGAACACAUGCCCUAUGCCCUAUUUUCGUUUAAGGACCGCCAAG